GAUUAUGGCUCAGGAUGAACGCUGGCGGCGUGCCUAACACAUGCAAGUCGAACGGAGUUAUUACCGGCAGAGAUUCGGUCAAAGCAGGUUUAACUAGUGGCGGACGGGUGAGUAACGCGUGGGGAACCUGCCCUGUACCGGGGGGAUAACAGUGAGAAAUCACUGCUAAUACCGCAUAAGCGCACAGCAUCGCAUGAUGCAGUGUGAAAAACUCCGGUGGUACAGGAUGGACCCGCGUUGGAUUAGCCAGUUGGCGGGUAACGGCCCACCAAAGCGACGAUCCAUAGCCGGCCUGAGAGGGUGAACGGCCACAUUGGGACUGAGACACGGCCCAGACUCCUACGGGAGGCAGCAGUGGGGAAUAUUGCACAAUGGGGGAAACCCUGAUGCAAGCGACGCCGCGUGAAGGAAGAAGUAUCCCGGUAUGUAAACUUCUAUCAGCAGGGAAGAUGAUGACGGUACCUGACUAAGAAGCCCCGGCUAACUACGUGCCAGCAGCAGC
RNAcentral lists this ribosomal RNA (502 nucleotides) under uncultured bacterium. RNAcentral's name for it is "bacterial SSU rRNA". It matches the Rfam family "Bacterial small subunit ribosomal RNA", at positions 15 to 518 of the family's 1533-position model. The record is from RNAcentral.